GACGAACGCUGGCGGCGUGCUUAACACAUGCAAGUCGAACGGAAAGGCCCUGCUUUUGUGGGGUGCUCGAGUGGCGAACGGGUGAGUAACACGUGAGUAACCUGCCCUUGACUUUGGGAUAACUUCAGGAAACUGGGGCUAAUACCGGAUAGGAGCUCCUGCUGCAUGGUGGGGGUUGGAAAGUUUCGGCGGUUGGGGAUGGACUCGCGGCUUAUCAGCUUGUUGGUGGGGUAGUGGCUUACCAAGGCUUUGACGGGUAGCCGGCCUGAGAGGGUGACCGGCAAAAUGGGAAUGGGAUACCGGCCCGACUCCUUAGGGGGGCAACCGUGGGGAAUAAUGCCACAAGGGGCGGAGGCUGAAUCCACAACGCCCGGGGGCGGGAGAACGGCUUCGGGGUGGAAACCGCUUUCGCCUGUGACGAAGCGUGAGUGACGGUAAUGGGUAAAGAAGCACCGGCUAACUACGUG
This 467-nucleotide ribosomal RNA is filed under the name uncultured bacterium. RNAcentral's name for it is "partial 16S ribosomal RNA". It matches the Rfam family "Bacterial small subunit ribosomal RNA", at positions 28 to 507 of the family's 1533-position model. The record is from RNAcentral.